GAUGAACGCUGCGGCGUGCGUAACACAUGCAAGUUGUACGACGGUGCCAUGAAGUGGUAACACGGAAUGGUAUACGGAGUAGCGGACGGGUGAGUAAAGCAUGAGGAGCUGUCCUGUUGAGGGGGAUAACGUUCGGAAACGGACCCUAAUACCCCAUAGGCCGAGAGGUUAAAGGCAGAGAUGCGCGACAGGAGGUACUCGUGUCCUAUCAGCUGGUUGGUGAGGUAACGGCUCACCAAGGCAACGACGGGUAGCCGGCCUGAGAGGGUGACCGGCCACACUGGAACUGAGACACGGUCCAGACUCCUACGGGAGGCAGCAGUGGGGAAUAUUGGGCAAUGGGAGAAAUCCUGACCCAGCGACGCCGCGUGAACGAAGACGGCCUUCGGGUUGUAAAGUUCUUUUAUGUGGGGAGAAGGAAGUGACGGUACCACAUGAAUAAGCCCGGC
Molecule: ribosomal RNA, 449 nt
Filed under: Synergistetes bacterium oral taxon G36
Lineage: Bacteria; Thermotogati; Synergistota
Description: bacterial SSU rRNA
Rfam family: Bacterial small subunit ribosomal RNA
Source: RNAcentral